CGUCUUCAGGGCAGGGUGUAAUUCCCGACCGGCGGUACAGUCCGCGAGCCGAGAGAUCGGCAGGAACCGGUGCGAUUCCGGUACCGACAGUAGAGUCUGGAUGGAAGAAGGCA
RNAcentral lists this non-coding RNA (113 nucleotides) under bovine gut metagenome. RNAcentral's name for it is "FMN riboswitch (RFN element)". It matches the Rfam family "FMN riboswitch aptamer (RFN element)". From Rfam's summary of the family: The RFN element is a highly conserved domain that is found frequently in the 5'-untranslated regions of prokaryotic mRNAs that encode for flavin mononucleotide (FMN) biosynthesis and transport proteins. This element is a metabolite-dependent riboswitch that directly binds FMN in the absence of proteins. The record is from RNAcentral.